AUCCAACUGACGAGUCUCAAACAGGACGAAACACACCUCUUCGAU
This 45-nucleotide non-coding RNA is filed under the name Schistosoma mansoni. Lineage: Eukaryota; Metazoa; Platyhelminthes; Trematoda; Strigeidida; Schistosomatidae. The record is from RNAcentral.